UAUUAUACUAAUGAAUAUUAUUAAAAUCUAAAUUAUUAAUAGAUAUGAUCUUUAAAUUUGAAGAAUUUGGCGGUAAUUUAGUCUUGUUAGAGGAACCUGUUUUUGAAUCGAUACACCACGUAGAAUCUUACUCAUCGUUAUAAAGCUUAUAUACCAUCAUUAGCAGAUAAUUUUUAAAGAAUUUAAUUAUUAAGAUUUAAAAAAAAUUAAUUAAAAUUAGAUCAAGGUGUAGCCUAUAGGUGAGUUAAAAUGGGUUACAAUAAAAUUUAUUUAAAACGGAGUAAGUGUAAGAGAGCUGGACCUUACAGAAGGAGGAUUUAAUUGUAAUAUAUGUUUAAUAAGCUAUAAAGAUAUAAGCUCUAAAUUAU
This 368-nucleotide ribosomal RNA is filed under the name Tetraplax quadridentata. RNAcentral describes it as "partial 12S small subunit ribosomal RNA". The record is from RNAcentral. Lineage: Eukaryota; Metazoa; Arthropoda; Malacostraca; Decapoda; Panopeidae.